Molecule: long non-coding RNA, 3579 nt
Organism: Lynx canadensis (Canada lynx)
Lineage: Eukaryota; Metazoa; Chordata; Mammalia; Carnivora; Felidae
Exons: 5
Source: RefSeq, a predicted model, not a curated record
ACAAAGUUUGUGAGAACUUGUUUGCUCCCCAGGGAGCUGACCUUUCUCAAAGAGCCUUUCCCAGGAUGCCUUGCAGGAAGGUGUAGCACCUGUGAGUAGCCAGCCUGGAGCUACCUGGAGGACCGGAUUUGGGCGUGAAUGGAUGUUCCCCAGGAGGAGUUCCUCAGGACUUCUUUUUCUUGAUAAGCCAGGUUUAUCUUGCCUACCAGAAGGUCAGGGCAUUGGCCAGUCCCAGCUGGGGAAGGACUGUUACUCCUGUGAAAUGUCUCCUUGCUGGUUCACUGCACGCCAGAGCUCCUGUUCACAGUCCUUACCAGAAACGGGAGCCUGGGUGAUGCAUUCAACAGGGCAGAAGAUGAUUGCAUGGAGAACCAACGAAGCUGGCAAACAACAAAAAAAAUAACCUAAUACCUACGCGGAGCAGCUAUUGUGAGACUUACAUGAGGUAAAGCUGAAAAACACCAGGAAAGUAACUGUGUCCCUGAAGACUUCAGACCUGUUGUUGACUGGCUCCAAAUUAUCUGGGAGUGUUCCAAUGAAUCCGGACUGCCUCUUUGACCCAGUCGUGGAGGAGGCUGGAAACCAGCCAUGUGCCAGGAAUUAGACGUUGGGAAUGAAGAGGUGAAAGAGACAGUCCCUGUUAAAGACGGCCACAGAGAGCUAAGAAAAUUAGUGAAGACGGCACAGCAUGCAAAGAAGUGCCAUCGGGAUUUGCACAGAGUAUUGGUGAGAAUGGAAGAAGCAUCUAACGCCUCCUGGGUGACACUCCAGGAAAAAGAGGUGGGGAAAUGCUUUAAAGUGACACCAGAGAACACUCACACACUGCUGGUGGGAACGUAAAACAGUGCAGCCACUUUGGAGGACAGUCUGGCAUUUCCUCCGAAGGUGAAACACAGAGUUACCACGUGACCCAGCAAUUCCACUCCUCGGUCGGCACCCAAGAGAAAUGAAAAUACAGGUUCACACACACACACACACACACACACACACAACUUGUACGUGAAUGUUCAGAACAGUAUUACUCAUUAUAGCUGCAAAAUGAAAACAGCUCAAAUGUCCCUCCCGUGAUGAAUGGAUAAAUUAAAUGUGGUGUCCGUACCCUGGAAUGUUCUUUGACGUUAAAGAGGAAAAAAGUACUGAUGCAUACUACAACGUGCAUGAAGCUUGAGAACGUUAUGCUGAGUGAAAGAAGGCAGUCACAAAGCAUCAAAUAUUGUAUGAUUUCCUUUGGGUGAAAUAUCUAGCAUAGGCAAAUCUGUAGAGACAGGGAGUAGAUUACUGUUUGCCUAGAUCUGGUGGAAAUGGGAGCAUUGAGGGGUUAUGGCUGAGGGCCACAGGCUUUCCUUUUCAGGUGGUGCUUUGAAAUUGAUUCUGUAAUUGUUGCACAACUUGGUGAAUAUACGAAAAGCCCUUGAAUUAUACACUCACAUAGGUGAAUUGUAUGGUAUAUGAAUUCAAUCUCAAUAAAGUUGUUAAAAACAACAGUGACACCUGAGGACCAGUAGGGGAGAAGGUUACUGGGCAGAGUGACAAUAAUGAGCAAAUAUACCCCAUUAGCAACCCCCCCUUGACUCUACUGCCAAAAUGUGUCCCCCAGAUCCUUUUAACCUUCUCUAUUCGCACCACUACCUUCCUGAUCCAAGCCACUGGUAUCUACCUGAACCACUGAAGUAGCCUCAUAACUACUAUACUCCUGUCCCUGUGCUGGGGGGUUGAGUGGCAGCACAGGACCAUCCUUCUUCUCUGGAGGGGCUGAAAGUGUGGGGAGCUCAUUUUCCAGAGGCCCUGUUUCGGGGCUCCAGACUGCCCAUGCCCCUUCCCUAGGACCCCUUCCCUGUUUCUGCUGAGUAUCCGGCUCAUCCCUAGUCGCACUGUCUUCCCCUGUGACACUCGAUCACGACUGAGAGUGGUUUUCUUUGUAGCUCAUGUCACCUGCUGAGGUUCACGUAUGUCCUUUCUUGCUCACUCUCCGCCUCCUUUCUGGAAUGCAAGCUCCCUGCAAGCAGGGACUUUGAUUCACAGCAGUAUGUGCGGUGCCUCGUUCAGUCUCUCGUACACAGAAGCUUCUCGUACUCUUGCUUGCUGAGUGUGCGAAGACGAGGCAGGACGAGGACAGGGCGUUGAGGGCCUAUCUCGCGCCGUCUGUGGUUGGAAUGCCACGGGGCAGUUGUGGGGGUGGAGGGAGGUGAACGGUGAGGUUGCUGGGAAGAUGGGUCACACAGGGCUUUGCUAUUUCCUAGCUGUGUCAUCUUAGAAAAGGCAUUUCAUCUCUCCAAGCCUCUCCGGUUCUCCACUUUACAAUGGAAUUUUUAAAACCCAUCUUGUGAGGGUCGAAUGUGUACAUUACAUGAAAAUCCUGAGGAAAUUCAUAUAUUGAACAUUGAAUAUUCUCAUGUGCCCACAGGGGCUAGGCCCUGAAAAUUCAGAGAUUAAAAAAGGUGUGUUCUCUGUCCUUGAGAAGCCCAUGUCUGGCAAGGAAGACAGACCCACAAGAAGUCAUAAAAGGUGUCUCACAUGAUUGUUGCCUCAAGGCCUCUCAGCCAGAGUGCCUGACUUCCAGCCACUUCUCAUGACAGGGUGCCAGUCUGUGUUGUGUCUUUAUUAGCACUGGGACCUCCUCAAGGACAGUGGCGGGCCUCCACAUCUUCCACAGGGCCUGUGGGGCCUCUUCGGGAUCCAGGUACUAAGGAGGUCCAGCCUGCCUCUUCUCUUGAAUGGGGGGCUUGGCUUAUCUUCGAAACCAGGUGAUCAAAAAUCCCAGGUCUCCCGACCUUGUACCCUGAGUUACAGAAAACAUUUCCUUUUAUGACAGGAGAGCUCUUUAUUCCCCUUGCAUCGCCUUUCCCGGAUGCUUAUUCAGUCAGGCGCCAUUUUGACAUGACUCUGCUUUCUAGGCGUAGGUUCUUUCCGCCCUGCCUUUUCACUGCAUCACUUCUCCUCUUGCAAACUUUCUCCCCUUUGCUAAAGUCUGUUGUACCCAGCCUUCAUUGUCUUAAAAACUGCUGGGACUCUUUGUGACUGGGGACUCUGCUUUUUACCCUUCCAGGUUCUCAGAGCUUAGCAGUGCCCACAGAAAUGUCCUCUCUGCUCCCCAGAAUUUUAUCCACACCCUGUAACUGUUUGGAGGCACAGUCCGCGGCAGUGCGUGUUUCUCAGCUGCUUGUGACAUCAGGUUGGGAACUCCCUUGGGAUGCCGGCCUUUGUCACCUCAUCACUUGGUGUGCCUGGCAGAGUGGACAAUGGUGUUUGGGAUGGAGGUUUGAUGGCUUGGAGUGACAAUAAUGUCUUCAAACCUACCCUCUUGCUCUCGUUUGGGUCUAAGUAAAAAAUGCCAAAUGAACAGCCUCUUCUCGGCCUCCCUCAAGCCAGCUGGGACCAGGCAGCAGCCUUCGGGGUGACUAAGGAGGAGGAGGUGCGUGUUUUACUAUCAUACCUCCAGUCUCCAGUUUUCUCAAGGGCUUCGUUUCUUUUGCUUGACUGGGGGAGCUGAGUGUCUAAGUAAAGUGCAUUGUUUCCCCUGCUUCCGAUUCACCUCAGGACUAGACUGGCAGCUGUGGGGCACCUGGGUGGCUCAGUCGA